Molecule: ribosomal RNA, 462 nt
Filed under: Staphylococcus pseudintermedius
Lineage: Bacteria; Bacillati; Bacillota; Bacilli; Caryophanales; Staphylococcaceae
Description: partial 23S ribosomal RNA
Rfam family: Bacterial large subunit ribosomal RNA
Source: RNAcentral
GCCAAAUAAUUUAACUUGGGAGUCAGAAUGUGGGUGAUAAGGUCCAUAUUCGAAAGGGAAACAGCCCAGACCACCAGCUAAGGUCCCAAAAUAUAUGUUAAGUGGAAAAGGAUGUGGCGUUGCCCAGACAACUAGGAUGUUGGCUUAGAAGCAGCCAUCAUUUAAAGAGUGCGUAAUAGCUCACUAGUCGAGUGACACUGCGCCGAAAAUGUACCGGGGCUAAACAUAUUACCGAAGCUGUGGAUUGUCCUUUGGACAAUGGUAGGAGAGCGUUCUAAGGGCGUUGAAGCAUGAUCGCAAGGACAUGUGGAGCGCUUAGAAGUGAGAAUGCCGGUGUGAGUAGCGAAAGACGGGUGAGAAUCCCGUCCACCGAUUGACUAAGGUUUCCAGAGGAAGGCUCGUCCGCUCUGGGUUAGUCGGGUCCUAAGCUGAGGCCGACAGGCGUAGGCGAUGGAUAACAGG